RNAcentral lists this transfer RNA (68 nucleotides) under Marmota monax (woodchuck). RNAcentral's name for it is "tRNA.Asp". Lineage: Eukaryota; Metazoa; Chordata; Mammalia; Rodentia; Sciuridae. The record is from RNAcentral.
GGAUUGUGGCUCAGUGGUAGAGGGCUUGUCUGUCAUGUGUGAGGCACUGGGUUUGAUUCUCAGCACCA